This 552-nucleotide ribosomal RNA is filed under the name Coniochaeta sp. RNAcentral describes it as "LSU rRNA". It matches the Rfam family "Eukaryotic large subunit ribosomal RNA", at positions 52 to 628 of the family's 3401-position model. Lineage: Eukaryota; Fungi; Ascomycota; Sordariomycetes; Coniochaetales; Coniochaetaceae. The record is from RNAcentral.
GGAGGAAAAGAAACCAACAGGGAUUGCCCCAGUAACGGCGAGUGAAGCGGCAACAGCUCAAAUUUGAAAUCUGGCUUUCGGGCCCGAGUUGUAAUUUGUAGAGGAUGCUUUUGGCGCGGUGCCUUCCGAGUUCCCUGGAACGGGACGCCACAGAGGGUGAGAGCCCCCUACGGUCGGACACCAAGCCUCUGUAAAGCUCCUUCGACGAGUCGAGUAGUUUGGGAAUGCUGCUCUAAAUGGGAGGUAUAUCUCUUCUAAAGCUAAAUAUAGGCCAGAGACCGAUAGCGCACAAGUAGAGUGAUCGAAAGAUGAAAAGCACUUUGAAAAGAGGGUUAAAAAGUACGUGAAAUUGUUGAAAGGGAAGGGCUUGUGACCAGACUUGUGCCGGGUUGAUCAUCCGCGGUUCUCCCGCGGUGCACUCUCCCCGGUCCAGGCCAGCGUCGGUUCUGGGAGGGGGACAAAAGCUUGGGGAACGUGGCUCCUCCGGGAGUGUUAUAGCCCCUCGCCCAAUGCCCCUGCCGGGACCGAGGUUCGCGCUCUGCAAGGACGCUG